RNAcentral lists this long non-coding RNA (447 nucleotides) under Homo sapiens (human). RNAcentral describes it as "non-protein coding lnc-ANK3-1:4". Lineage: Eukaryota; Metazoa; Chordata; Mammalia; Primates; Hominidae. The record is from RNAcentral.
CAGUUGGCCGCCUGGUGUUUGCACCACAUCUGCACCAACUACAACAGUGUAUGCUCCAAGUUCCGUAAGGAAAUCAAAUCAAAAUCUGCAGACAACCAGGAAUACUUCGAGCGGCACCGCUGGCCCCCUGUGUGGUACCUGAAGGAAGAAGAUCACUACCAGCGUGUGAAAAGGGAACGAGAGAAGGAAGAUAUUGCACUAAAUAAGCAUCGCUCAAGACGAAAGUGGUGCUUCUGGAAUUCAUCUCCAGCAGUGGCCUGAAGAGGAAGAGAAAAAAAACAAAAAACAGAAACCAAUCGGAUCAAAGCACAAGCUCACCAUCAAUGAGCCUGGACAAAAAGGGAAGCUGACUCUCACUGCAUUCCUUAAACUGAUAUGUAUAUUUUUUUUGUUAGGAGGCUUAAUAAACUUUAGUCUGUUAUUUUGUUUCUUUUUAUACAAAGAAAA